AAGGCCUGAUGUGUGUGAGAUUACCCGCUGAAUUUAAGCAUAUAAGUAAGCGGAGGAAAAGAAACUAACUAGGAUUCCCUUAGUAAUGGCGAUGAACAGGAUCAGCUCAGUGCCAAUCGGAUCACUUGUGGUUCUGAAAUGUGGCUUGAAGCAGUACAGUGGCAUCGCGGACGAAGUCUCUGGAAA
RNAcentral lists this non-coding RNA (186 nucleotides) under Perkinsus marinus ATCC 50983. RNAcentral's name for it is "Eukaryotic large subunit ribosomal RNA". It matches the Rfam family "Eukaryotic large subunit ribosomal RNA", at positions 1 to 195 of the family's 3401-position model. Lineage: Eukaryota; Perkinsozoa; Perkinsida; Perkinsidae. The record is from Rfam by way of RNAcentral.